AUUGAACGCUGGCGGCAGGCUUAACACAUGCAAGUCGAGCGGGGUGAUGGUGCUUGCACUAUCACUUAGCGGCGGACGGGUGAGUAAUGCUUAGGAAUCUGCCUAUUAGUGGGGGACAACAUCUCGAAAGGGAUGCUAAUACCGCAUACGUCCUACGGGAGAAAGCAGGGGAUCACUUGUGACCUUGCGCUAAUAGAUGAGCCUAAGUCGGAUUAGCUAGUUGGUGGGGUAAAGGCCUACCAAGGGGACGAUCUGUAGCGGGUCUGAGAGGAUGACCGCCACACUGGGACUGAGACACGGCCCAGACUCCUACGGGAGGCAGCAGUGGGGAAUAUUGGACAAUGGGGGGAACCCUGAUCCAGCCAUGCCGCGUGUGUGAAGAAGGCCUUAUGGUUGUAAAGCACUUUAAGCGAGGAGGAGGCUCUUUUGGUUAAUACCCAAGAUGAGUGGACGUUACUCGCAGAAUAAGCACCGGCUAACUCUGUGCCAGCAGCCGCAGUAA
RNAcentral lists this ribosomal RNA (502 nucleotides) under uncultured bacterium. RNAcentral's name for it is "partial 16S ribosomal RNA". It matches the Rfam family "Bacterial small subunit ribosomal RNA", at positions 30 to 523 of the family's 1533-position model. The record is from RNAcentral.